This 253-nucleotide unclassified non-coding RNA is filed under the name uncultured Pirellulaceae bacterium. RNAcentral describes it as "contains 16S-23S intergenic spacer region". It matches the Rfam family "Bacterial small subunit ribosomal RNA", at positions 524 to 776 of the family's 1533-position model. The record is from RNAcentral. Lineage: Bacteria; Pseudomonadati; Planctomycetota; Planctomycetia; Pirellulales; Pirellulaceae.
GACGAACCGUACAAACGUUAUUCGGAAUCACUGGGCUUAAAGGGUGCGUAGGCGGCGCGGUAAGUUGGGUGUGAAAUCCCUCGGCUCAACCGAGGAACUGCGCCCAAAACUACCGUGCUCGAGGGAGGUAGAGGUGAGCGGAACUUAGGGUGGAGCGGUGAAAUGCGUUGAUAUCCUAAGGAACACCGGUGGCGUAAGCGGCUCACUGGACCUCUUCUGACGCUGAGGCACGAAAGCUAGGGUAGCGAACGGG